UCAAGUCAGACAGAGAUGGAUUCAAAUCUUGGCUUUUAGUGGGGACCUCAGAAAAGGUUCACUUCUUUGCUGACCUGUUGGAUUGAUCACACACAACACUUGAGUUGGAAUUCCAAUGAGAAUUUUUGGCAUGGCUGGAGCUAACUGGUGUGAGAAAAGAGGAGGGAAGCAAGGUCUGAGGAGAGUGGCGGGGGCCACACCAAAUGAGGACCUCAGCAGAGACAACAAGAGCCUGCUCAAGCUGAGGAUCAGUCCUGCAUAGUGGUCUGACGGCUCUCCCAGCCUCCUCCAGCGCCCUCCCCAUUUUUCUCCCACAAGGUCUUCCUCAACAAAUCUCUCGCGUGUCUGUUCUCAUCAUGGCAUCUGCUUCUCAGAAGACCUGAACUAACACAGUGAUCCAGAAGAAGCCAAUCUACAGUGAAAGAGAAGAAAUUCAACGCAGAGAGGGAAGCAGAAGCAAGAACUGGAGGGAGAUCUUGGAGGGAGUUUUUGACCCCUUAUUUCAGCUUUUCAGGAAGUCCAUCUGUACCCCUAUAGUUCCCAUAGUUUAAUUGUUCAGCAUUUCUCGUUUUACCUAAACUAGUUCAAGAUGGGUUUAGUCAUUUGCAACCAACAGAGAUGUGACUCGCGCAACAGAGAAAUUUUAUUUUGUUUUCCCUUAAAAAUAUCUAUCAUUGGGCGCCUGGGUGGCUCAGUUGGUUAAGCGACUGCCUUCGGCUCAGGUCAUGAUCCUGGAGUCCCG
Molecule: long non-coding RNA, 742 nt
Organism: Zalophus californianus (California sea lion)
Lineage: Eukaryota; Metazoa; Chordata; Mammalia; Carnivora; Otariidae
Exons: 5
Source: RefSeq, a predicted model, not a curated record